RNAcentral lists this non-coding RNA (111 nucleotides) under uncultured Blautia sp. RNAcentral describes it as "NiCo riboswitch". It matches the Rfam family "NiCo (Nickel/Cobalt) riboswitch aptamer". The record is from RNAcentral. Lineage: Bacteria; Bacillati; Bacillota; Clostridia; Lachnospirales; Lachnospiraceae.
ACAGUACAAACUGAUCAGGCGAUGCCGCAUGGUAUAGAGCCGGGCUUAAAAGCAGCAGAUGUGAUAAGGAUACAGAUAGUUUUCUGAAGAGCAGCACAUCUGUGGGACAGU